AACCUGGUUGAUCCUGCCAGUAGUCAUAUGCUUGUCUCAAAGAUUAAGCCAUGCAUGUCUAAGUAUAAGCCUUUACACGGUGAAACUGCGAAUGGCUCAUUAAAACAGUUAUCGUCUCCUUGACAGUUCAUACUACAUGGAUACCUAUGGUAAUUCUAGAGCUAAUACAUGCCUAAAGACCCGACUUCGGAAGGGUUGUGCUUAUUAGAUACUACACCAACUGUCUUCGGACAGUUUUGCUGACUCAUAGUACCCAGCGAAUCGCAUGCUUCGGCGGCGAUGUGUCAUCCGAGUUUCUGACCUAUCAGCUUUCGACGGUAGGGUAUUGGCCUACCGUUGCUUUGACGGGUAACGGAGAAUUAGGGUUCGAUUCCGGAGAGGGAGCCUGCGAAACGGCUACCACAUCUAAGGAAGGCAGCAGGCGCGCAAAUUACCCAAUCCUGACUCAGGGAGGUAGUGACAAGAAAUAACAAUACUGGACCUUUCAGGUUUAGUAAUUGGAAUGAGAACAAUUUAAAACCCUUAUCGAGUAUCAAUUGGGAGGGCAAGUCUGGUGCCAGCAGCCGCGGUAAUUCCAGCUCCAAUAGC
RNAcentral lists this ribosomal RNA (588 nucleotides) under uncultured marine eukaryote. RNAcentral's name for it is "SSU rRNA". It matches the Rfam family "Eukaryotic small subunit ribosomal RNA", at positions 1 to 598 of the family's 1831-position model. The record is from RNAcentral.